Molecule: long non-coding RNA, 6081 nt
Filed under: Gallus gallus (chicken)
Lineage: Eukaryota; Metazoa; Chordata; Aves; Galliformes; Phasianidae
Source: RNAcentral
CCUCUCCAAACUGAGCUGCGGGGCGAAGCGCCAGCACAGACACAAACACACACACGUGUGCAACCCUUGACCUUCGCUGGAGGAAGGGAUGAGCCACGAGCUAUAAAUACCCCGUCAGGGCCGAAGGAAAUACCAAGGCAGCACCAACGAGGGGUCUGAGCAGCAGCAGAGCCUUUCAGGAAGAUGGUGGAAGCAGUUAUUAAUAGCUCGGCUGCUCCGGCAUUUCUUCCAGCAGCAGCAGGAGAGCGCUCCCUGUCCUGGGAAGCACUGAGGGGGACCUCCCCUUUCCCAGCUCAGUUGUGCAAGAUGGAGCUGAUUUCCCACCACCCCAGCUCACUACAGAGGGAGGGGAGGUGGUGGAGGAGGCAUCUGCACGACGGAAAAGCACCUCCGGCGCCAACCCUGUGCCAAGCAGAGCCAGGGGCAGCGGGGCCAGGCACAGCCGUGCCACGUCCCAGCCAAGGAGCUGCCAAGAGGAUCGCUUCCACGAAGCCUUUUCGGAGCCCAACCCAAGAAGCACAGUAGCUGAGCUGCUCUGUGGGAGGGGAGGGCCGUGGGAGGGGAGGGGGCCGCGCAGCGUCGCAGCGCAGCGCUGAUGAAUGGAGCCUUUGUGCUCAGUGCUGCAGCGCCGUUUCCACACCAACCUUGGCGCGAUUCAGCACGGGAAGAAAGCAGGGCAAUGCCUCCCCCCUGCCCGGCUCCCUGCCUGCUGCCUUUGUCCCGGCCACCAGCAAGGACUCUGCAUGCAGUUCCACAAAUAGCUCCGGAUUUGGGUCACGGCGUGCGGCUGAAGCGCUGCUCUCCGCACGCGGCCGCAGCCCCGCAGCUCCAUGGGUGUCUGUGUUUGUGCCGAGGUGUCUGGGAGCAAGUGAUUCAUCCCUGCAGUAGGUUCCUGGGAGCAGCAGGCAGCCAGGCAACACUUCCAUGUCCAACUAAUGUUGGUCUCCAAAGAGGAUGAAAUCACCUCUUCCCAGUCCCGCACAGAGGUGAAGCCCCGUAACCAAUAUCUGCCAGGUAAGGAAUGGUUUCCCCAGAUCUACACUGGGGAAACUUCAGGGGGAAAGAGGGAGAUUUUCAGGUGGUGAUCAAGUCCUGUCUGCAAAACUCAGGUCCCACUACUGCAGCCUCCAAGAGCAGCCCAGAGCCGUGCCCAGGGGAGGCUUGCAGCAGGACAGCAGCCGCUGCACUGCCCAGCUGGGAGCACAGGGAGGGUCCUCAGCACCCAUCCUGCGAUACACAGAGUUCCAAAAGCACACUGAUGAGCUCUGCUGGGGUUGGGACACAGCCACAGCACUCACACAUCAGUGCUUUACCUUCAGGUCCGUGUUUAGAAUCCAGAUGAAAGUGCAGACCCGGGGGUUGCUGGGGCACUUCAGUACGAUGAAUCCUCCAGGUCCGUUCUCACCUCUGCAGGGAAACAACAGCACCAAAUCAAGCUGGGAAGGCUGUAGAGCCACUCCCCAGCGCUGUGGUUGCACUGCACCGACCCCACACUGACUCCUGCAGUCACAGCCCCUUGCCUGACUGUGAGGACAGGAGUCCAGCGGGGUGGAAGCAGAUGCUCAGAGUGUCCGGGAAGGAACCUACCUUGACUAUGGGCACACGAGCAAACACCAUUUGCCCAGCAGGUUUCCCACAGCAGCAGCAGGCUGCCUCCAGACCUCUGGCCUGGCCAACGCUGGCACAGCAUUGCAGUAAUGGGUGCAAACAAGUGGGUCUCUGGGAAGCACCCAGGGAGACCACACGAUCAGGCUGAGCUCAGCGCACACCGCUGUGCUUCUGCAGCCCCCAGAUCCUUCCUCACCAUCUGAGCGUCUCAGAGAUGAGAGCUGCGUUUGCACACACAGCCCAAAUACAGAUCUCCCUUCCCUGCUCAGGAACACGCACUAUUUUUGCUGCAUCCAUUUGUUAACGGAUUUUUCUAGGCCCCGAAGUCCCCAGCUCUUAAAUAGACUGAGGCAGCUAUAACGUCUCUGAGUUAAAAUGUCAAUUACUUUAACCAGAUUAUUAGGAAAAACAAAGUCAGUGCGUGAAGUGGCACAGCUGGGCCCCAGGCAGCAGCACAGGCAGUAACAAGGAGCCUUGUGUGAUGAGACCAGCCCUGCUGAGAUCCAUCAGCAGCUGUGCGAAACCAGCCCUGUGGAAAGGGAGAGGCCGGGACCCCACUGGUGCUCUGGGAGCUGUUCCACCCCAGCGCAGCUCAUUUCACCCCCAGGUCCGUCCCUCGGCGCCCGCAGACUUUAAAGUCAGUAAGUGAGUGGCUUACGAGAAGCAAAAGGCAUCCGAGAGGCUCACAGAAAGACGUGGGCAGCUGCUCACUGCCCCUCCGAAAUGGCAGCUGGCCCUGUUUGGGAAUUGGCUGCUACACAAACAGGAUGCAGAAGGGGUUGGGGUUUGGGCUGUUACUGUCGGCACCUCCGCUCCCCAGAGCAGAGCUGGGAAACGCCCGAGCAGCACUCAACAGCACAGAGCGUUUCUUUAACAAAGGAAGAAGAACAAGGGAAGCAAGGUUUGGUUCCACAAAUAGAUGAGCUUCCUGCAAACGGUGCCAGAAAGACAGCAGGGUUCUCAUUUAAGUGGCUCUCUGCCCUAAGCUUAAGCAAAGCUCGUGUCAGAUAUCAGCUAAAAAAAAAUAAUAAUAAUAAUAGAAUCUGCCUCUUACCUGACAUACUUGGAGAGUGGAGGCUUCAGGCUGUGCGUGGUCGACAUCCCUGAGGAAAUGUACCUGUCUCUUCUUCUCUCGAUCCGCCGCACGUUCACAAAAUCCCUGAGCAAAGAAAGGGCAACGACAGCUUUGAAACGUGCGUGAGACUUUGAAGGAGCAGAUCACACGCCUGGGGCUGCUGGGAAAGGCUGCGGCAGAGGACGGUGUUCAGAGGCUCAGGACAAAACAGCCCAAGAAACCGACCUGGGGGAAACGACGCCGCCUGCGGCCCCGGCUGCCACGUCGUACGAAACGAUCGUGUUGUCUUCAACCCUCUGCAAGACCUGGGAGAAAGGAAAGAGAGACCUCUUCAGCCCGCGCCUGCAGGUGCCAACAGCUGGGCACUGCAGCCCCUCACAGCUGGGAGCACACAGAGUACCUUCAGCAGCUGAUUUGGGGGGGGGGGCUCUGUGGCAGCACACGCACAGGUUUGUCUGCCGGCCCACGGCUGCCUCUCCACCUUUCUGGGGGUGGGGGGCACAGGCGUUCCCUUCGGAUCCCUGCCACGCAGGCAGUGCCAAACGGCACCAAGCAGAAGCAGGCUUGGCUCAGGCACUGGCCCAGCUCCCUGCCCACCUCGUGGGCUUUUGGAUGGGCACAGCCACGCAGCUGGCCGCCGCCGAGCAUUCGGAUCGUACGGAUGAGCGGCGGAGAUUUAACGCCUCGGUGACUCUGAUCCAGCUAAGCUCCAGUAGGGCCUGGGCACCGCUGACAGCCGGUGCUGGGCUGGGAAGCUGCAGCUCUCCGCUUCAAGGAGCUCCUGUGAUUAAGCCAUCUUUGUCCGGCACGCUCACCUGGCAAGCUGCCACUGUUCUGUUCCACAGGAUCAUCUUCUCGGGCUGGAGAAUAACCUCCUGGUAAACCGUUUCAGCAGAGCACUGCAGGAAAGCCUGAGAACAGAGAGGGAGCAGUCAGCCAGUCCCCUGCUCCACUGGGGUAAGGUUAUUUCUAAGGAACGCAGAGCAGAUCAGAAAGAACAACAGGGAGGAAGCGGGAGGACGGCGGUGAGACCACAAAGCCAACGUCGUUACCUGCUGCCAAAGAGGGAGAAGGGCACGAAUGGGAUGAGAACUGGGGAUCAGCAGUAGCUGAGCCUGCUGGGAAGGGGCACAAGCAUCCAUCUGCACCAUAGCCACGAAGACAGAAUGAUCUCGGGCCCCUCUGCCCUCAGCCCACCUUCUCAGCAAUUGUGCUGCGUGUGCAAUUGCUUUGGAAAGUCACCAGAAAGAUUCUCAGAACUCCAGCACAGCUAACAUUCAUUUCUCCACGUCCCCGUGGGAUUGGGGACCUUCGGAAGCAAACGGUUAAUGCAGCAGAGCGGGACCAUCCAGCUUUGCCUCACCAACACAGAGCUGCUCCUCCAGCAGCUCUGCCAGCGAGGCAGCAUAUGCACUGGAACAAAGAAAAGCCACCGCAGCACCAAUGCUUCAUUAAAGCGUGGUUUACAGCCAAGCCACUCCAGCGAGAGGGCACAGAGCGUGGCACUUCCGAGCAGCUCUUCUCAAUGCCAGGCAGCAGCAGACGCACGCUCAGCCCUGGUCUUGCUGGCAAUUAGUUGCAAUUAGCCUCCUUGGUCAGAUUAGUCCUAGAUGCUGGGGUUGGAAGCGAGUCUUGCAGUCACCUGCUCCCACUUCCACCAGCAAAGACUGGGGCCCAGCAUAUUUGCCGGGGAGUUUGUCUGCCAGCCAAGGGGUUUUCCUGGAGAGAUUCCCUAAAGCGUGCAGAGCAGUUCAUCUGUCUCAAGCAAAGAGAGUGCUCUGCAGGCUGACCUGUGCUGCCAGGGCCAGGAGAGAGAGUGAAAGCUGAGCCGCGGCUCCAAGCAGAGCAGUGAUUUUGUAUGUAUCACACAGGCUAAGGAAGCAGAACAGGAAGGUUCUUACCUUUAAAAUAAAGGUCUUGCCAUGAAAAGGUAUUUCAAAAGUGUAAACAACGUCACCGAAGUCCUGUGCAAGAAACAAGAAAGUUUCAUUUACGUUGGCAAAAUAACAUUCACUGCUUCUACCCAAGGUAAAGCCUGAUGGUCUCAGGGCACUGCAGGAGGGCUGCAGGAUCUGGCCCACUCCAGCACCAUCCCAUAGGGCCAUUCUUGGCCCCAAACUGCUCCUGCUCCCCCACGCCAGGCAGCAAGCCCCAGAACAGGAACGGCACUGAGCCCACUUCAGAUGCCCAUGCACAAAUUUCCAUAAACAAACCAACAUCCAGAGAAGCAGCAGUGAUGAGACAGGAAAAGAAUCCACCCCGUGCCAGCCUGCAAACUCCGUUUCAAGGUCAAAUUCUCUUUGUAGCAAGCUACCAACACCAGGGUACGAGAGAGGGGUGAGUUUGCCAGCACUGCUGUUGUUACCUACAUCUGAGAAGAGACUCCCUGGAGGGGUUAGGGAUGGACAGAUGAUAACCUUUCAUCAUUAGCCCUGUGUUAAACUCUGAUUAGUCUAUUUAAAUCCAUCCCCCUUUGGAUAAAGAAAACAAUCUGCCCAGCUAGUUUGGCAUCAAACAAUGGAUCACUUGACAGGGGAAUUUUAAAUACCAGAUGAGACUGCAGUUUGCAGGACUCUCACCUCAACUGCAUUGCAAGCCCACAAGUAGAAAACAAGGUUGAUUUUCGGGGGGGAGAAGGGGGGCAGAGGCACUUUCACACCACUCUACAGAGACAAAAAGGAGCCCCAGCUACCCCAGAAAACUUUGCUGUAGCUUGAGGAAAAACACAUGGCAGGGCUCCCUGGUACACACUCCGCUAUCCACAGUGCCCCUGUCCUGAGGAAGGGGAUGUACACACAGCUUUGGGGGUAGGGCUGCAGGAGCUGCCUGUGCCCCACACACUCCUGCUCCAAGAAUGGCUGUAGCCCAACCAGCCAGAGCCUCCCCACACCCUGGUGUGUUCCUAAAAGCACGAUGCUCUGCAGCCCUCACAGCCACCAAAGGUGAGCUGCCCACCCCUGCCAGCCUGCUGUUGAGAUGGAGGAGUGACGGCCUCUCUCCCGUCAAACGGGAAGGCAAUUAAACGUCUAAUUAAAUAAGAGGGGGAUUUUACAUUUAACUGAGCUGGAAUAGAUUCCUAAUUCAAUCAGGUAAUUGUAACGCUUGUUAAUUUUUCAUGUUGCAAGGAGGUUUCAAAAGCCUCAUUUGUCCUCCAGUUUUUGCUAAGCCAUCCGUGCUCUUUGCCAGCGCUGCCCAGCAGUGGGGUGUGGGGGACACUUGCAUUGUUUUUCUCAAACUUCCAGUUCUCCUCCUGGGCGAGGAUUUGGUCCACAACUUCCAUAGCUUCUUUGCCUUGUCGGACAUAUUCUUUCUCCUAGGAGAAAAGGGAAUAUUUCAUCAGCAGGGUUUGCAGAAAGCCCCACAUGUGUGUGUGUGUGUGUCUGUGUGUGUGUGUGUGU